GCCGGGUCCUUUGCCAUGUGGAGUGGCAGAGGGGCCUGCACGGAGAGUGAGGAGCAGGCACUCCCCAGGGUGUGGGUCAUGGAGGCCCAGAGCUGAGACGGUGCAGACAAGAGAGUGGCCAGCAGGGCGCCGGGGCUGCCAGCCUCGAGGUCAGCGUGAGACAAACAGAUGCAGCAAUGAUGUCACGAGUCUCCAUGAGGUGAGCAGGCCAAGGCCCGGUGGCCUCAAAGUCCACGUUAUGGAGGGCAAUGCGGGGGCACGUGGUCAGAGUGGAGUUCUGGAAAGAUCCCCGUGACAGCUGAUGGGCCCCCAGGCCAGGAGGAGGUGGCUGUGAACAGCACCGCCCAGCCAAUCAGCGCCCAGUGUUUCCUGCCUUCUGUCACACCUGGCUGCUUGGACCCUACCUGGGCUGGGGGAGCGCACCUGGCCACACUCCCAGGGUCUCAGCUCGACUCUGCGAGGAAGCUCAGGUUCAGAGAGGCGAAGGGACGCCACUGGCCCCAGGGACAAGACACCUCAUGCACACAACAGGUGCUCAACUUCUCACAGUAGGUGCACCCUUUCUCUUGCAUUCUCCCUCGGGAGCAGAUGUGGGACUCACACUCAAGACUUCUGACUGUCUGUCCAGUGCUCCCGCCCCUGCUCUGAGCCACAUUUAGGAAACUCCCCCUGUUCACAGGAUGGGAUGCGGGGAUGCGCAGAUGCCGGGCUCCACCUGUCUCUGUCUCUUCAGCCCCCCAGCAGCCCC
Equus quagga is the source of this 748-nucleotide long non-coding RNA. RefSeq lists it as uncharacterized. Lineage: Eukaryota; Metazoa; Chordata; Mammalia; Perissodactyla; Equidae. The transcript has 4 exons. The record is from RefSeq and is a predicted model, not a curated record.